GCAGCAUUAUCUGGGUUUCCCAGCACAUGCAAAGCCCAAAGUUCAGUAAUCCUGUCAUCCUUCUGGGCUAGACCUGGAGACUGGGUCUUCUCAAACCAGAUCACACGAUGGGGGUUUUUCUUUGAACAUGACAGGAUUUGCACAGGGGGACCUCCUCGAAGAGUUGCCUACUACUGCCCCCUUGUUGUCUCCUCCUCCUCCUUCUCCUUCCUCCUCCAACCUGUAUUUUACCAGAAUGAAGGAGAUGAGAAGCUUCACACAGUCUCACAAGGAAGACUCAGGUAAAGAUUCCUUGGUGACAUCACAAAUGAAGACCAACCACAUGUUCUUUACAGGAGACCACAUAGUGGUUGAAGGAAGAUCUCUCUGUCUUUUCUGUCACAGCAGCUCCAUUGUAUUUUAAGUACACAGUGGUCAAUAAGAGAGAAAACAGUUCUUAACCCUUCUUAACCUUAUUCUUUUAGACAUAGGGAAAUGCAUUGAUAAGUCUGUUGGUGAGUUAAGUACUGAACUUGCUCACAUUGUGUCCAUCUGCUGGCUAAAAAAUGAGAGCAUGUGUGUUUGGCUUUGUGGAUCUAAUUUUACACGCCCUUUGGUUUUAUUCCAAGUAUUUCAUGUGCAAUAUUUCUUACCAGGAAAAAUGAAAUAUUGAAUGCUGGACAAAAAAAAUUUUUAAAGAAAAAAAAUAAUAAAAUAAAUCAUACAUCAUACA
Molecule: long non-coding RNA, 712 nt
Filed under: Anser cygnoides (Swan goose)
Lineage: Eukaryota; Metazoa; Chordata; Aves; Anseriformes; Anatidae
Description: lncRNA (ENSACDG00005009710.1)
Source: RNAcentral